UCACUCCUCCCCUCCCGUCUUCC
Molecule: microRNA, 23 nt
Filed under: Canis lupus familiaris (dog)
Lineage: Eukaryota; Metazoa; Chordata; Mammalia; Carnivora; Canidae
Description: Cfa-Mir-483_3p (mature (co-guide))
Source: RNAcentral